This is a long non-coding RNA of Triticum dicoccoides, 814 nucleotides long. RefSeq lists it as uncharacterized. The record is from RefSeq and is a predicted model, not a curated record. The transcript is spliced from 4 exons. NCBI's taxonomy places the organism in Eukaryota, Viridiplantae, Streptophyta, Magnoliopsida, Poales, Poaceae.
GGAACCCACCGAACCAGACUCGUCUCUCUCUCCCCCACGACUCCGCGCCGCCGCCGCCACGAACGCCGGCCAUUUCCGGCGAGACCCGGCGGCUCCCCUGCCCCCGCGCCUUCCACCCAUCCGGCGCUCGCGGCCUCCAGUCUCACCCGCGGCUAGGGUUUCGCCCCCUGUCCGUUUUUCUGGAGGUCGGGCAUGGCGCGGGCGGGCCAAGCGCCCGCGACGAGGGCGCCGUAUCCGGGGGCAGGGCUCCCUUCUCCUCACGCUGCAGCCGCUGGCCUCCUCCUAAUCGAGGAGGAGGAGCAGGAGCAGGUGGGGCGCACCUAGCCCCCAAGGUCGCCGCCGUCGAGGGCUUCUACGACCUGGAUCCCGACCUCCACGGCGCCGUCGCUCCAGCAACUCGAGGUCAAGGAGAAGUCCACUCACGCGAUGUGCCCGUCCAUGGAGAGGAGCAGCAGCAGCUCAAGAUAUGCACGGAGAAGAAGACCAUCCUCUCCGCUGACGACACCUGUGGUGGUAAAAAUUCAGAGACCAACACCUGUAGCAGCAGGUCUCAAGAUGGAGUAGGAGGACGAGCAGCAGCAGCAACAGCAGCACAUGAGCCUGAUGAUGGAGCAUGAUAACCGUAGAUUUAAUUUCGGUUAUCGUGCUGGAUAUGACUGAACUCGUUGUGCUCAUGUUGGAUAUGACUGUGAACUUGUCACGCUCGUGUUGGAUAUGACUGAUCUUGUUGUGCUUGUGUUGGAUGUGACUAUGAACUUCGUUUGGACUAUGCAAUGGAUUUGAUGUUAUAUAUGUGGAUUCUCAUUCAAGUUCA